CAUGCAGUCGAGGGGCAGCAUGAAAGUAGCAAUACUUUUGAUGGCGACCGGCGGACGGGUGCGUAACGCGUAUGCAACCUACCCUUUACAGGGGGAUAACACCGAGAAAUCGGUACUAAUACCCCAUAAUAUUCCGGGAGGCAUCUUUCGGAGUUGAAAGCUUUGGUGGUAAAGGAUGGGCAUGCGUUGUAUUAGCUAGUUGGUAAGGUAACGGCUUACCAAGGCGACGAUACAUAGGGGGACUGAGAGGUUAACCCCCCACAUUGGUACUGAGACACGGACCAAACUCCUACGGGAGGCAGCAGUGAGGAAUAUUGGUCAAUGGACGGAAGUCUGAACCAGCCAUGCCGCGUGCAGGAAGACGGCUCUAUGAGUUGUAAACUGCUUUUGUACGAGGGUAAACGCAGAUACGUGUAUCUGCCUGAAAGUAUCGUACGAAUAAGGAUCGGCUAACUCCGUGCCAGCAGCCGCGGUAAUACGGAGGAUCCAAGCGUUAUCCGGAUUUAUUGGGUUUAAAGGGUGCGUAGGCGGUUUAGUAAGUCAGCGGUGAAAUUUUGGUGCUUAACACCAAACGUGCCGUUGAUACUGCUGGGCUAGAGAGUAGUUGCGGUAGGCGGAAUGUAUGGUGUAGCGGUGAAAUGCUUAGAGAUCAUACAGAACACCGAUUGCGAAGGCAGCUUACCAAACUAUAUCUGACGUUGAGGCACGAAAGCGUGGGGAGCAAACAGGAUUAGAUACCCUGGUAGUCCACGCAGUAAACGAUGAUAGCUCGUUGUCGGCGAUACACAGUCGGUGACUAAGAGAAAUCGAUAAGCUAUCCACCUGGGGAGUACGUUCGCAAGAAUGAAACUCAAAGGAAUUGACGGGGGCCCGCACAAGCGGAGGAACAUGUGGUUUAAUUCGAUGAUACGCGAGGAAACCUUACCCGGGCUUGAAAGUUACUGACGAUUCUGGAAACAGGAUUUCCCUU
Molecule: ribosomal RNA, 970 nt
Filed under: uncultured bacterium
Lineage: Bacteria
Description: bacterial SSU rRNA
Rfam family: Bacterial small subunit ribosomal RNA
Source: RNAcentral